UACAGAGGUCUCAAGCGUUGUUCGGAUUCAUUGGGCGUAAAGGGGGCGUAGGCGGCGCGGUAAGUCGGGUGUGAAAUCUCGGAGCUUAACUCCGAAACUGCAUUCGGUACUGCCGUGCUUGAGGACUGGAGAGGAGACUGGAAUUUACGGUGUAGCGGUGAAAUGCGUAGAUAUCGUAAGGAAGACCAGUGGCGAAGGCGGGUCUCUGGACAGUUCCUGACGCUGAGGCACGAAGGUCAGGGGAGCAAACGGG
This 253-nucleotide ribosomal RNA is filed under the name uncultured bacterium. Its description in RNAcentral is "partial 16S ribosomal RNA". It matches the Rfam family "Bacterial small subunit ribosomal RNA", at positions 524 to 776 of the family's 1533-position model. The record is from RNAcentral.